RNAcentral lists this ribosomal RNA (790 nucleotides) under uncultured archaeon. RNAcentral describes it as "bacterial SSU rRNA". It matches the Rfam family "Archaeal small subunit ribosomal RNA", at positions 85 to 879 of the family's 1478-position model. The record is from RNAcentral.
ACUGCUCAGUAACACGUGGACAACCUAACCUACAGAGGGGGAUAACCCCGGGAAACUGGGGAUAAUACCCCAUAGACUAUGGAUGCUGGAAUGCUUCGUAGUUGAAAGGUCCGCCGCUGUAGGAUGGGUCCGCGGCCGAUUAGGUUGUUGUUGGGGUAACGGCCCAACAAGCCUGUAAUCGGUACGGGUUGUGGGAGCAAGAGCCCGGAGAUGGAUUCUGAGACACGAAUCCAGGCCCUACGGGGCGCAGCAGGCGCGAAAACUUUGCAAUGCGGGAAACCGUGACAAGGGAACUCUGAGUGCCCGUUAAAUCGGGCUGUCCAUCGGUUUAAAUAACCGGUGAAGAAAGGGCCGGGCAAGACCGGUGCCAGCCGCCGCGGUAAUACCGGCGGCUCGAGUGGUGGCCACUAUUACUGGGCUUAAAGCGUUCGUAGCUGGUUUGUUAAGUCUCUGGGGAAAUCUUCCGGCUUAACCGGAAGGCGUCUCAGGGAUACUGGCAGACUAGGGACCGGGAGAGGUGAGAGGUACUCCAGGGGUAGGAGUGAAAUCCUGUAAUCCUUGGGGGACCACCUGUGGCGAAGGCGUCUCACCAGAACGGCUCCGACAGUGAGGGACGAAAGCUGGGGGAGCAAACCGGAUUAGAUACCCGGGUAGUCCCAGCUGUAAACGAUGCGCGUUAGGUGUAUCGGUGACCACGAGUCACCGAGGUGCCGAAGAGAAAUCGUGAAACGUGCCGCCUGGGAAGUACGGUCGCAAGGCUGAAACUUAAAGGGAUUUGGCGGGGGAGCAC